GUCAGCCGCCGCGGGAACACCGGCGGCCCGAGUGGUGAUCGUGAUUAUUGGGUCUAAAGGGUCCGUAGCCGGUUUGGUCAGUCCUCCGGGAAAUCUGAUAGCUCAACUAUUAGGCUUUCGGGGGAUACUGCCAGACUUGGAACCGGGAGAGGUAAGAGGUACUACAGGGGUAGGAGUGAAAUCUUGUAAUCCCUGUGGGACCACCUGUGGCGAAGGCGUCUUACCAGAACGGGUUCGACGGUGAGGGACGAAAGCUGGGGGCACGAACCGGAUUAGAUACCCGGGUAGUCCCAGCCGUAAACGAUGCUCGCUAGGUGUCAGGCAUGGCGCGACCGUGUCUGGUGCCGCAGGGAAGCCGUGAAGCGAGCCACCUGGGAAGUACGGCCGCAAGGCUGAAACUUAAAGGAAUUGGCGGGGGAGCACAACAAACCGGGUGGAGCCUGCGGUUUAAGUGGACUCAACGCCGGACAACUCACCGGGGCGACAGCAAUAUGUAGGCCAAGCUGAAGACUUUGCCUGAAUCGCUGAGGGGAGGUGCAUGG
Molecule: ribosomal RNA, 542 nt
Filed under: uncultured archaeon
Lineage: Archaea
Description: bacterial SSU rRNA
Rfam family: Archaeal small subunit ribosomal RNA
Source: RNAcentral